GACUCCACUGGACACGGAGCCGCAGCCACUCUCAGCGAGUGUUGGCCAGAUGCCAAGUUCUGGGGCUUAAGGCCCUGAUCUCGCGGGAUCUGCGUUUUCACAGAUGGAGGCAGCCAGCAGACAAAUAGAACAUCAGGCAGGAAUUAGGACUCGGCAGGGCUGAGAGCCCUUCCAGGGACCGGCAGCCACUGACUCCUUUGGCCGCUCCGGUCUCAGUGCUGCGUGUGUCGCCACACAUGGGCCCUGGUGCCCUGACCAGGGAUGGCACCCAGGACCCUGCUUUGGUAGCACAGAGUCUUAGCCACUGGACUGCCUCGGAGGUCCCUGACAUCUACUUGGGUGAGGAUGUCCGGGAUGCCUAAGAAGACUUCUUUCUGCCAUGAGACAUCAGAACCUGAGAGUCAGUGUGUCCAGACGCAGAUGCUGAACCCCCGCCAGGCGGCAGAAGUUCAGUGUCUGCUGCCCACAGGCACGUAGACCCGAGACUCGCUGAAGCCGGAAGGUUGGUGACGCUGACUGUCACUCACCACACCACCAGCCCGUCAGCACGGCGUCCCCGAGCUGCUCACACAGGCCUUGAGCCACGACUACUCCCUCCAGGUCUGGACACACGGCUUUGAGGGCAUUAGCCCUCUGGGGCCCCUCAGCCUUGGCAAAGCAAGUAAAGAUAUUCUUUUCUACUUCACCCCCCUUCACACACACACACACACACACACACACAAAUAGACAAUGUGAUGGAAAAUAUGAGAGAAAAAUAGGAAAAUCAGAGUUAGUCCUGGAGAGUUAAACUUCUGAAAAACAGGGGUUCUUGGAAGACAGAAGAGAGGAAACAGCAGUAAGGAAAUCCUCUUGGAAAGAGCUCAGAAAACCCCCAAAUGGAGCUGAAGCAGCCUUCAGUUUCCAAGGGCAAAUGGCAAGGCAAGUGCCCAGGAGAGAGUUUGCAAACAGAAGUCAUGCCACAGCUAACCAGGACGCCAGGGUGUGGAGCCCUUGCCAGCUCCUCUGACAUACAGAGAGGGGGUCACGGCCAAAUGACCAGCAACCAAAAGGGGUCCAUACCCUACUGGGGGCGGGGGUGGAUACAUCUCCUAGUAACUUUCUUAAAAAAAAAAAAAGCAAAAU
Long non-coding RNA from Bos taurus (domestic cattle), 1122 nucleotides. NCBI's taxonomy places the organism in Eukaryota, Metazoa, Chordata, Mammalia, Artiodactyla, Bovidae. The record is from Ensembl.